AUAAAUAUAAAUUUUACCACUGCAUCGAGUGUGAUACGAUAUUUAUCCACUCGAGACAGUCUAAUUUUCAAAUUUAAAACGCCGAUCGUUUUAAGUAUUUAAAAUUUAACUGUCGAGAGUGAAUAAAUAUCGUUUUACACGAGAUUUGGUGGUUGAAUCUGUUUCUCU
This 168-nucleotide small RNA is filed under the name Mytilus galloprovincialis (Mediterranean mussel). Lineage: Eukaryota; Metazoa; Mollusca; Bivalvia; Mytilida; Mytilidae. The record is from RNAcentral.